This 253-nucleotide unclassified non-coding RNA is filed under the name uncultured Xylariales. Its description in RNAcentral is "sequence contains 5.8S rRNA gene, ITS2, 28S rRNA gene". Lineage: Eukaryota; Fungi; Ascomycota; Sordariomycetes; Xylariales. The record is from RNAcentral.
AACGCACAUUGCGCCCAUUAGUAUUCUAGUGGGCAUGCCUGUUCGAGCGUCAUUUCAACCCUUAAGCCUGUGUUGCUUAGUGUUGGGAACCUACAGUUCGCUGUAGUUCCCCAAAGUUAGUGGCGGAGUCGGUUCCAAACUCUAGACGCAGUAAACUUGUCUCGUCUGCAGUUAAGCCGGUCUUCUUGCCGUAAAACACCCCAAUAGUUAAAAGGUUGACCUCGGAUCAGGUAGGAAUACCCGCUGAACUUAA